AUUGUAUGACAGAAUAUUGUAAUAAAAUUAGAAUUUAUUAAUAAAAUAAUA
This 51-nucleotide transfer RNA is filed under the name Cecidomyiidae sp. 3 LC-2017. Its description in RNAcentral is "tRNA-Leu". Lineage: Eukaryota; Metazoa; Arthropoda; Insecta; Diptera; Cecidomyiidae. The record is from RNAcentral.